CUGGAGGCUGGAAGAGAAGGAUUCGGACCCGGCUUGAGAGAGGGGCUCAAGGGCCAGAGGCCUGCAAGUCCCUUUAGUAAAGAGCAGACAGUCACUACACGAAAUGCAGAACUCCAGGCAAGACCAAGCUUCCAGGAUCCCUCCUAUGGGGGAGGCCCAGAAUGGCUCCCUCUUAUACCGGGCUGCCCCGCAGAGCCGCUGAGAGACCUGGGAGUCUGCCAGCUCCAGGGAUUGGGCUGAAGGCAGGGCCUGACCUGGGAGCCGUGAGCCUUGUGGGGGGUGGGGGGCAGAAUGGCAGGGAAGGGCCGACCCCCACUCACUUGAUGUGCUGGAGGCUGUGGUUCCCAGAGAGUGCCGUGGCAACGCAUAUCACCCCAUCCAUCCCCAAGGAAUUCUCUUGAAGACUAGGCAGAGAAAAGAUGCAGACACCAUCGUGAGCCAUUCGGGACAGAACACGCGCCGGGAAGCAGCGCUGCAUCGAUCACAGGUGCCCCAGCAAGAGCAAGGUGGCCUUUACCCCUGAGACCAGUGUCUACCGGUAGCCAGGUGGUCCCGUCCGAGCGCCAUGGAGGAUGGAAGACCAAAAAUGCAGGCAUUAAAUGGCUUACCUCUGACAUAAGCUAGGUAGAAUGAACAAACUCAUCUGCAACGUGGACUCUAGUGCUAUUUCUAGUCAGAGGGAAGCGGCUUACAGAGGAAGUCAAGAGCUUCUCAUUACGUGGGGAGGUUCCAGCAGAGAAGUCUGCUGUGCCAGGGCGGAGGUAGGUCUCUGCAACCACUCACUUGAGUCUUCGGAGACUUGAGUUGACCUUCAGAGCAUUUGCCAGGGCUUUGGCUCCGGCCACCCCGAUGGCGUUUCCUCUUAAGCUGUCAGGAAAGAUACGAAGCCUAAAGCACAGUGACAGCUGUGGGGUGUAAACAGUACCUCCUCAGACGAGCACGGGCCGCUGGGUAGAGGCAGCAGGGACGUAGCAACCACGGGGGGCGGUUCCUCCUUCCUGACUCCCCGGCCCAGAACAGAGAUCGGCUCUGGGGAGCAGGACGCACCAAGAGGGGUGAAGCUGGCCCAACCUGGGUGGUUUGUUGGAGCCCUCGCCCUCCAUCCCAAAGGAAGGAGAGUGGGGUUGAGGUGAGAGAGGAGACACUUCCUCCAGCGGUCCCCACAUGCUCAGCAUCACAGGACCACAAGAGCAGGAAUGACUGAGACAUGCCUGAGACCCCCACUGAGCUUAAGUCGCCCUUGCCCCUGCCCCCGCCCCCGCCCGGGGUUUGGAUCUACUCCUAGACCAAGGUCAGUGGCCAAGGACCCCUACAGAGGACUUCAGGAUGUGCGCAGCCUGGGCAAGACCGAGGAGAGCAGGAGCCACAGCGGUGACUCCCAGGGAAGAGGUGUGAGGUGGCAGCGGGGAAGCUGGGGAAAACUUCAUCUGAGUGACGGUAUUUAAGUGGUUUGUGACUUUCCAUGUAAAUUGACAUUUUUUCCCUUCUGUAUCUUCAUUUUGAAUCAACAGCUUGGUUCGUUUGGGUAAGAGACAGCAACCAGACACUGGAAUACUCACUCGAGAAUCUCCAAGGUCCUGUUCACAGCCAGGGCAUCCCCUAGCGCCUGGGCCCCCCGGGCACCAAUGGAGGCCACCUGCAGACUAUGCAGAAGAGAUGGGGUCAGUGCGGACAGGCUGGGGCGCUCUGGCCUGCACCCCGCCUGGCCCAGCUUCCAUGCAUCCUUGUCCUUCCUUCUCCACCCCUGGACUGAGGGCUGCAAGUGACAACGUAGCGCUGAAAACUGUUGGCCUGUGAUCCGUCCAGAGAGCGCCACGCCUCCAGCCUCCCCUGAUGCCGAGGACAGAGAUCGGGAUGCUACGGAUACGGGAAGGAGAGGUGGUUCCCUGGAGGGUUUGAGGAAAAACACUCCCUGAACCCCUACUUCUUACUCUGUCCCAAUUGCUAACAUUAGGAAAAUUUAACACCUUCUUGGCUGGGAAGCAACACUGAUGUUUGGUAUGAAAGCAGGGCUCAGGGCCGGCUGCCUGGGCGGCCGUGCACGUCAACACUUACUAGAGAGCGGUGAGGGCCGUGUUGGCCUUUAGUGCGCUGGCCAGUGCGGAGGCGCCCUCGUCCCCGAUGGCGUUCUCCUGCAAACUGAACACAGAGCGUGACCCCCGGGCUCACAGGGCACGGGGCUAGCGGCACUCCAGCAUGACGUCCUGAACUUGGACCUUCUAGUUUUCAUUCAGACCACGCACACCGCAGACUAGACUCCCAGGGUUGCCGAGGGGAUAACCGACCCCGCGGCCUCCUAAAUAACAUGCAGAGGGCUCUGGGGUCUCUAUGAACCUGGAUCAUCAGAAGCAAACAAGAAAAGGGACGCGUGGAAAUACGCUUAAGGGUGAGGACAAAAAAAUGGGCGUGCCAGCCAGAGAAUUCAGUAGAAGUCCUUAGUCCCUGGCCAUUCUUGCUCAUCGGGGUUUUACAUCUUUUUUUUUUUUUUUUCCUUCCCUUCCACAUUGGAGUAAAGUCAGUACCUAGCGCAGUAAAUGUUGGAGAGUUUACCUCGGGUGGGCAUUGGGGUGUUGAAGGGAGCCGUUUGCAUUCGCGAUUUUAGCAGACGUGUUAGUGCGUGUGGUGCCCUGGCCUGAUCCUGUCUCAGGUGGGCGGUUGUGACUGAACGAGCCGGCACCGUGGGCCACGUGCUGGGGGGACGGAGGAGCCCGUGGGGUCUCCUGCCCCCGUGUGGUCACGGAGGCCACCGGGAGAAAUAGGUCUGAACUGAAACCUGCAGGAUGAGAGUUGGGGGAGGGGGCCUGGCACAUCCACGGAACCCAAAGAAAUGGCAUGAAGUGGCUGGCGUGUGAAAUGUCGGAAGCAGGCCUUCGGGGCCUUUGUUAGAAGCCACACCGAGGGGUGGGUUUCACUCUGCAGGCACUGGGCAGCCAUUGAAGCAUCUCGGGACGGGGACAGAUACACAUUUUGGAAAGACGUUUGGCCAGCAGUGUGAGCGGAUGGACUGGAUGUGGAGGCUGCUACGGGGACGCAGGGUGAGUGGAGCUGGUGGCCUGACGGUGGCCGCGAGGGUAGAGGGAGACGGUGGGGCCUUGGGAGGAGAGUCGCAAGUGGGAAGCGAGAACAGAGACGAUGUUUCUAGCUCGCAGGCUGGGUUGGCCGGGCCCGUUCGUGAGGUGGAGCUGAGAACAGACUCGUGGGGAAGCGGCGUGGGCAGUGAUUACGUGGGUCUGGGGCUCAGGAGAGAGGGGUCUAGACACGGGGGCACCGGGACUUUGAAGUCCAGGAGUGUGCGAGAGGACAGCUUCUGGAAUAGAGAGCUCGUUCGAGACAAGGUGGCCUAGAACAGAUCCCUGAGGAGCCCCAGGAUGUCAGUGAGACAGAAGAACCAGCCAGAAAUGGGCUAUCCUGGAUGCCAAGGGAGAAGCCAUGGGCGUGGUCCAAAGCAGGCGAGACUCAGAGGGUUAGAGACAGGGUUCCCAUUCAACUCCGCGGCUCCACUCGCUCAUGUGCCCAAGAGAAAUGAAAGCGUAUGUCCAGGCAGAAGCUUGUACACAAACGUUCACAGCAGCGUUACGAGAGCCAAACUGUCCAAACCACCCAGAUGUUCCUCGACAGAUGAGGGGAUAAAUGGCAUGCCAAUCUGCACAGCGGAAUAGGAUUCAGCCACAGAAAGGAAUGAAGCCCUGAUUCCUGCUGCAACCUGGGUGAACCUUGGAAACCUGAUACCGAACGAAAGACCUUGGUGGCAAGAGGUCACACGCUGUUCAGUCCCACGUACGUGAAGUGUCCAGUACAGGUGGUGAAAAUAUUGUGGAACUACAUAGAGGUGAUGAAGGAACAACUGUGAACGUACUAAGUGACACUGACGUGUAUACUUUAAAGUGGUGAAUUUCACCCCAAUAAAAAUACAUAAAUGAAGAAACAAAUGACAGUACACACUCAACUAAGGAUGGGUACAACCACAUGUGACAACUCCUAAAAGGAGCACAGCAAACCCUAGGAACAUUCUAGAGAAUGGCACUUUCAGCGUCCUGGAAAACACCUCAGGGGAACAUCCUGACACCAUGGCCUUGGGGAUUUCCCAUUCGAUGGAAGACAAGAGGUUUUCCUCAUAGAUUAUUUUGCUUUUCCACCUCUAUACAACCGCAUCCUCCUUUUCCUCUAUCCCUGGCUUAGGCUGUACACACAAGGACAAUGAGCACAGAAGAACUGAAACCUGAAACUUGUAUAGACACGAGAUCACGUGGCAUCCACCUAGACAGGAGCCAGGAUAGCAUGCCUGCCAUUUUGAAUCAUCUCCCUCUCCAUGGUUGGCACCUGGGAGAGGGUUUCGUGGGCCCUCUGCUGGUUAUAUCGGGAUGUGGAGCAGAUGGCGCAUACCUCAGAAAGGCCAGAGUGCGGUUAAUCUUCAGAGCAUCUGCCAGAGCCUUGGCCCCUUGAGGUCCGAUGGAGUUACCGCGGAGGCUGGCGGGAAGAAGAGAGAGAAAGAACCGUUUUCUUUUAUCCAGUUCCCAGGGAGGAAAGAAAGAAGUUACACUGACCUUUAAAUCUACGCUCUUUGAAAAUAACGGGGUUUAAGAUUUCAUGUUUUGUGGAGAUCCUUAUUCAGGUGAACAAGUAAGGAAUUUCCCAGUAUGGCCCCCCAGUAUGAUGGGGGGUCAGCGGGGACUGGUGGGGGGAGCAGGAUCUGAUGGCCAUGGCUUGGGCCAAGUAUGGAGAGGAGAAUCAUACCAGCUUCAGGGCCAAAAUUCUGGUGCCUCCCUGGGCUGAUCCCCACAACUGACGAGGAGCCAGGAAUUUGCUCACUCUGCUGUCCUUCCAACCGACCCAGGGGACAGUGUGGUCUGGGCGACUUCACAAGAUGGCUGACAAGCUUUCCCUGUCCCAGUGGUGGAACGUUGGCCUCUGGUGUCCUACUUACUCCAGAGCGGUCAGACUUCUGUUGACCAGGAGGGAUCUGGCCAGAGCUUUGGCCCCUUUGUUACUGAUCUGGUUCUCAGCCAAGCUGCCCAAGGAGAAGGAGAAGAGUGGUUAUUGCAGGUCUACAACUGUCAUGGCCUCUUCCUCAACACCAGGCUUGUGAUCCAAACCUCCCGGUUUCACCAGCAUCAUGAGGGCCUGGACGCAGGUGGAGAUGACGUGAGCCCUGGAGCAGAAUCGCCCAGGCCAGGAAAGCCUCUGAGCCAAGUAAGAGGGAUUGCAUUUCUAUCUCUGGCCGCUAGCCCAAGGGGAUCCUGCUAAUAGCCGGCCCUCAUCCAGUGCUUCCUCUGUGCCUGGCCCGUCCUCGCUGCUUGCCUCGAGUUAACCCACUGAAGCCGCUUCAACAACCGGAAGGGGGAAUGUGCAGGAAAGGGUUAACCUUGCCCCCAGUUCCAGAGAGGUGACCUCUGAACGCUUGGCAUGUCCUGCCUGAUAAGUCUGUCUGUGUUUACCUGGGGCCCUUGGGCCGUGCAGUGGCAGCCCGACGUCCCUACCUCCGGAGGGGCUUCCCGUGACCCACCUCCAGUAAAAUGCCUGGACCCAAGCCCGGGUGCGCCUCCCCGGUUGGAACGCUUCAAGUGUGCUGUUGCGCGUGGUGGCUGGGGAGGCGGGCCCUGUCUGCACCAGCACAGCGGAAGGACUGCUGAAAGCUUGCCCCUGUCUCUCUGGGGCCCGCCUCAUGCACCCUUCCCUCUGCACAUUUAAAUCCGUAUCCUUUUGAUGUCCUGAACCACAAGUGCAGGUACAACAGCUCUUCUGGGUUCUGUGAGUCCUUCUAGUGAAUCAUUAAACCUUUGGGGGGGGGUCCCGGAGACCCCAGACUCACAGAUACCGUUUUAACCCCAUGUUUACACUCCUUUGGCACAGAGUUGACUGUACAGGGUCACACAGAGCCCACCGCUCGCCACUGUCUUCCGUGACUUCUUUUGGCUCCUGACUUACUCCGUGUUUGUGUUUGUUUUCUCAGAGAUUGUUCCUGAACCCAGAGGGAGGCUUCAGUGAGGAUGAAGAAUUCCUCUCUGGAUCCUGUCCUCCAGACUCCUCUCCCUAGUUCUAACCACCCCCAGGUCACAAGCCCACUCCUCAGUGUUCCUGAGACUUGGAAAUGUGAUCACAGGAGAUUUCACAAGCACGAAACUCUAUUUUGCCGUCAGCACACAGACUUGUGUCUCAUCACACCAUUAGAGUCAAUGUUUAAAUUUUAUUCUUUUGUACUCGUUUAAAUAAAAGUUCAAAUUUAAAUCCAAAUUUUAAAUUAAAAAAUCUCUAAUUUAAUUUCAAGAACCAAUCCUGUGCCUGUAAUACUGUUUUGAGGGCAAACGUUGAGAGGAGCUUAGAGAACAUCGUGCCUCGCAGUACUUCGGAACGUUGAGUAUCUGCGGAAAUGCUCCCAUGUCCACCAGAGCACCUGACCCUCACCAUAUCCCUUCCCUCUUCUUACAGGUGAGGGACCUGAGCCUCUGGAACUUUCCGGAAGGGGCAGAAACAAGCAGCCACGUGUUUCCAAGGCACCUCUCCUUGCAAGCGCCUCUGGCCGAUUGAGCAGAGAGGAGGACGGGAAAAUAGCCCUGGACCCCGUGCGACAGGUCCACGAGGGCUUUCACUUGCCCAGCCGGGGAGCCGGGGCCUCGGCCCUGGCCUGCCUCCCCGCCGGUCCGCACCUCCUGCUUCCUCAUGGGGUCCGCGAUGGCCGCCAGCAGCUGCGAAGAGAGGGCCUGAGGUGCCGUGUGCCGCGUCACCACCCUGGCCUGGGACAGGUGAGUGAGCCUCCAGGGAUGGGGAGGGACCCACUCCCUGUCCUUCCCCAGGCUGCCGGUGGCCCCCUCCGUCCGGCCUCCAGGAAGGGCCGGGAAGGGCUGUUCGUUCCUGGAUGGCGAGCGUCGUCCCUGACGCCAGGAGCAUGGUGGAUAAGAACCGGGCCCAGGCUGGAACCUGAGCUCCGCCACUUACUGGCUGUGUGGCACCGGGCAGGCCGCCUGAGCUCCUCGUGCUGUGCUGUCCUCAUUUGUGACCUGGAAGUGGAGACGGGGUUAAGAGCAGGUCUGCUCCCGAGAAGGGGAGAAUGAAGGAGGUCAAUCUGGAAAGGCCGUGUGCUCUGUGAGCCCAGCUCUGUGACCCCCCUGGAAAAGGCAAAACUGUGGAGAAAGGGAAAAGAGCAUCCGUGGUUGCCAGGAGGGGAGGGGUGAGUGAGUCAGGAGGGAGCCCCUGGGGACUUCUGACCCCAGCAGCGCCCUUCUCUGCUGGGCGCUGCAGUGUGGGGCCACCGAGAGGCGGAGCCGUGCGGGGCCCCACCUGCUCCCGUCGCUUUCCCUGAGGCUCCGAGUGGAUCCCGUGUGUCCCUCCCUCACCUACGGUGGGCGCUCCAGGACCCCCGGCGCGCCCCUGCCCCCUCCUCACCUGCAGCGGGCAGGGUGUCCGGCCCACAGCAGCUCCUCCGGCAGGGCCCCACGAACUCAGGGGGUGGGGGUCGGCCAUCCCUCGCCCAGGGGUCUAGGAGAGAAGACAGGACAGGGCUGAGCAGAGGCUACACCUGCCGCUCCGGAUACCAGCCGCUCAGUGAAAUGGGUCUGGCCCGUGUCUUCUAGCUUGGCGGUUCUCUGGGUCUCAACGAUCGUCACUUAGGGGAGGGGUCACCUGACUCCAGCCCCAAGGAUCCGACAUGUUCCCUGACCUUGUGCUUGCCCUGGGCUUUCCUGGCACUCUAACUCGGGAUGAACCUUUUUACCUAGAAGAUGCUAAAAGGGGCUUGACAACAAGUAGAAUAGCGUUUUCCAGCCGUUCCGUCCGGAGCGCUGGUGAAGUGUUAGGUAGUGCAGUGAAUUCAGGGCAGGCCGUGUCCAGCCCAGCUGAGGGAGUCCGGCAGCGUUCGUAAGAGGCCAGGGGGAGGCCUCGCUCCUCCUUCUUAUUCGGACCCCCUGGCUGUUCCCCCUCUUUUGUUCUUCUUGGCGUCAAAUCCAAGGGGAAAAGAAACCAGAUGGGGUUCUGAGUGAAGUCUCACUAAUGUGGAUAGAUCGGUGUGGGUGUCACUGAGGAAGACAGUCUUGGUGCGUUGUAUCUCCUUUCCCAUCAAAUAUUAAGUAUUCAUGUUAUUUCCCAUCAUUUCUCAGUGAAUGCUUACUGCAGUAUGAAUAACUUCAUCUCUUUCCUAAAAUCGCAACACUUAUCCUGAACAAGUUUUCCCACAUGGGUCAGACCCUCCACCUCCCCCACGCAGUGGUGAGUGACGGGAAUCACACUGGGCAUCCUCGUCUGACUCCCAGGCGUGGUUCGAGCCCAAGCCAUCAGGCCUCAUGUUUGUGAUCGUGUCUAAGUUGUUCUCUCCUCUUGGAAAAGCUUCCUUCACUUCCUUGUGUCCUAGCACCAUUCACAUAACGCCACAUGAUUGCUCCUGAAGGCUUCCUGUGCUCCAGACGACGAUCUGUUAAACAUUGUACUUACAUCAUUUCGCUUCUUGUAACAACCCUUAUUAAAUUGUCACCGCUCCCGUUUUAUGGAUGAGGACAUUGAGGCUCAGAGAGGUUAAGUGACUGGCUCGAGGCAACACAGCUGGGGAGCAGCUGAGUUGAGAGAGAAACCAAGGCUUCGCUGACAACAGCCUUUGUGCUGGACAAUCUCCUGCCUCUUAUAGUAUGUCCCCACGUUUUUCUUAAUUAAAAAAAUUUUUUUAAUGUUUAUUUUUAAGAGAAAGAGACAGAGCGUGAGCAGGAGAGGGGCAGAGAGAGAGAGGGAGACACAGAAUCCAAAGCACGCUCCAGGAUCUGAGCUGUCAGCACAGAGCCCGACUUGGGGCUCGAAUUCACGAGCUGUGAAAUCAUGACCUGAGCCGAAGUCGGAUGCUCAACCAACUGAGCCACUGAGGUUCCCCUUGUACGUCCCCACAUUUAAAACAUUAGGCAUGUCUGUUAAAUUAGCAAGUACCUUUUUAGCAGUAUUGACCCAACCACAUGAUUUAUUUCCCUUCAGUCAUUGAAUCAGGAGGCAUUUAUUGAGGGCCUUUUGUGGCCUGUGGGCACUGGGGGAUCUGAAGGGAACAAGUUAGACAAGGUCCUGACCCUGUGAGUGUGAUCCGGGUGGGGCACAUGACAGUAAAGAAACCCAGUGAAUGAGUGAGGCCAUCUGACACGAUUAACGCUGUGAAUGAAACACACAGGGUGCAUGGCGGACUGGGUCGGCUGUCAUGGUGGCCAGGGAAGGCCUCUGUGAGAAGGCCACUUAGGAGCAGAGAUCUGAAGAGUGAGAAAGCGUGAAUUACACACAGAGCUGGGGGACAGCAAGUACACAUGCCCUGUGCAUUACUGGGGCAGAAAAAGCCAGUUGCUGGAGUACAGUGAAUGGGGGUAGGGGUGGGGCUCACAGGAUAAGAGGACGUUUGAGACCCACCCACCGUCAUAAUGGCCAUAAUGCGUUUGGGUUUGUACUAGGUGUGGUGGGAAGUCACUAGAGAGUGACAUGCUGGAUUUCAUAUCCAGUCUCUCCUUUAAUCUGUGAGCUACACUAUAGAUUUUCUAACAUUGAACCAACCUUAGGUUCUUGAAUACUAUCUUCCACGUGUAUUAAGCUGUGUAAAACAGGGUGGGCUAGCACAAGAAUAGAUACAGAAGUCAUCAGAACAUAAUAUAGAGCUUAGGAACAAAUAUUUAUAUUACUUGCAUAUGAAGGAGUUUGGUAACGUGAAAAAAAUAACAUUAAAUUAAAAAAAUUUUUUUUUAAUUUAGAGAUCAGUGGGGGAGAGGGACGGAGAAAGAGGGGCAGAGGGAAGUCAAGACAGAAUCUUA
Molecule: long non-coding RNA, 9758 nt
Organism: Felis catus (domestic cat)
Lineage: Eukaryota; Metazoa; Chordata; Mammalia; Carnivora; Felidae
Exons: 4
Source: RefSeq, a predicted model, not a curated record